AUCUGCAGAACUCCGUUAAGAGACUACACCUCCCAUGAAACCCUGCAGUAUAACCUUGAAGUAUCAUCACGGAGAAAAACGAUCUCAUCUCAGGGCCAGUGGCGCAAUGGAUAACGCGUCUGACUACGGAUCAGAAGAUUCCAGGAGCCAAUGACCAACAGGCCGGAGCACUGGAGACUUUCUGGAGGAAAGGGGUACUGAAGCAUCCAAUAUGGAAAUAGUCAAGAUAUAGAAAAUGCAAGCUCUUGAAGGAUUCAAGAUAUAGAAAGGAUCUGAGAUAUGGAAAGAACUCAAGAUACAGAAGGAUCUGAAAUUCUGGAGACUAAGAUAUGAGAAUAUUUAAGACACAGGUAGGAAGGACACCUUCAAGGAAUUUGCUGGCUACCCUUAUUUUUAUAAUAUGCUUGCUAACAUCAGCAUGGGAGCAUCUUGAGUUUUUAGUCUACUACACAAGCAGACAUUGAACCAACAUUAACAGGAAUUAGUGUAGUCUGUUUUCCAAUAAGAGAGUGUUCAAGGAUCUUCAUGUAUUCCAGUUUCCUCAGAAACAUAGGCU
RNAcentral lists this non-coding RNA (556 nucleotides) under Pongo abelii (Sumatran orangutan). The record is from RNAcentral. Lineage: Eukaryota; Metazoa; Chordata; Mammalia; Primates; Hominidae.